UAGGGAGACCUACUUCAGAGAGAAUGCGUGAUAUAAGAAUAGCUGCAUUUUUAAUGAAGAUAUCCCAAGGUCGAACGGGGCAUGAGCGACGAUUUGAUAGUUGUUUAUGCAAGAUAGUGUAGGCUUUCAAGCUACGGUCUGGGUUACUAGGGCUAUUAGCUCAGGUGGUUAGAGCGCACCCCUGAUAAGGGUGAGGUCCCUGGUUCGAGUCCAGGAUGGCCCACUUGUGGGGGUAUAGCUCAGUUGGUAGAGCGCCUGCUUUGCAAGCAGGAUGUCAGCGGUUCGAGUCCGCUUACCUCCACCAUUAGCAUAGAAUAAUUAGCAUUGCCGAGAGGGGUGAUGCUGUUGAGGUUAUAGUUAAAGGUCAGCACCUAAGGAUGAUAGGCGGAGGAGUUUAUCAUAUUAGUAUGCUGGGUUUUAAGAACUCAGUGAGAACCUAGACAACUGCAUAGAAUGAAAGAGAAGCAAGGUAGGAUGUCCGACAGUGAAGCGCGUUAGCGUUUUGCAACAGACAUUUUAUUGAAAGAGAGAAGCCGAGAAC
RNAcentral lists this transfer RNA (541 nucleotides) under Metis fasciculata TAU-MAC 1415. RNAcentral describes it as "partial contains 16S ribosomal RNA, 16S-23S ribosomal RNA intergenic spacer, and 23S ribosomal RNA". The stretch from base 229 to 301 matches the Rfam family "tRNA". Lineage: Bacteria; Bacillati; Cyanobacteriota; Cyanophyceae; Oculatellales; Oculatellaceae. The record is from RNAcentral.